GCGGAUGUGGUGAAAUUGGCAGACACGCAAGAUUUAGGUUCUUGUGGGAAACCGUGGGGGUUCGAGUCCCUUCAUCCGCA
Molecule: transfer RNA, 80 nt
Filed under: Acidaminococcus sp. CAG:917
Lineage: Bacteria; Bacillati; Bacillota; Negativicutes; Acidaminococcales; Acidaminococcaceae
Rfam family: tRNA
About the family: Transfer RNA (tRNA) molecules are approximately 80 nucleotides in length.
Source: Rfam by way of RNAcentral